AACUAAGUAGCUCAUAAUUAGAGCAUUGCAGUGAAGAUGCAAAGGAGCUAAUUUAGCCGUAGUUA
This 65-nucleotide transfer RNA is filed under the name Cryptochiton stelleri (gumboot chiton). Its description in RNAcentral is "tRNA-Phe". The record is from RNAcentral. Lineage: Eukaryota; Metazoa; Mollusca; Polyplacophora; Chitonida; Mopaliidae.